UUUUUGAAAAUAAGAUUGAAAACUUGGUUAUAAAUAAAAAAAAGCGCAAAAGUAUAUAGUAAUGAUAAGCGCCUAAAAAGAACCACUGUAAAUUACAUAAAAGAAAUAACAAAAGGAAAAAAAAGAUUAUCUAAAAAAAAAAAAAAAAGAUUGUAAGAAAUCUGGUGGUGGUAUCCACGAUGACAAUAUUGACAUAUACCACAUGCUGUGUGUCCACCCUUGAAUGGAAUAAUUUGAGCUGCCUGGCACGGCCCAGAGAGCCCAGCAUGAGCUGUUGAGUACAUGAACACCAGUUGCCUAUAUAUAUUUCUGUCUCUCUCAACCUAAUCUUCAUCUAUACUUGCACACUGUACUAGCUAGUCUCCUACCAACACUAAUAGUAGUAGUAGUAUUAUUUUAUAUGGAGUAAUUUUAUUUUUUUAUUUAAUUUUAGAAAUAUAUAGUAUGCAUGAUGUAUCUACAGUUGUACUACAGUUGAGGCAUACACAUUCUCCUAAGGUAAAGCAGCACUAUCAUCUCUCACUGAAAAGGGUCCUGAGAAAGGAAAGCUUGAGAUAAUUUACUUUACCACACUACUACUCUUUUCUGUAUAUUCUUCUCUCUUUUGCUCACUUUGCUUCCUGUUUCCAGAUUUAUAAAUGCAGAUCUUCCUUUCUGUCGAUAAAUUUAAUUCUCUUUUGAGACUCUCUCAUGUCUCAUGUAUUAGCAUUGCUUAGUUAGUAGCUAAUUAGCUAGAGUAAUGCCACAUUAUCCUGCUGGUGGAUCUACAAAUUAAUGUGUCUUAAUUAGCUAGAGUAAUGCCACAUUAUCUGAAGUCGAAAUUGCUGGAUUAAUGUAAGAUCGAUUUCCCCUUGUACCAUGUUACUUGUUAGAUUAACCCCCCCUCCCAAAAUGUUAAGAUAUUACACUAUUUGUUUAUAAGUAUUGUAUUUAAUUAAUUAGCAGGCUAGCUAUUAUAUAUACACAGAGAGCUGAGGUUAGUGUUUACAAGUAAGUGAAGUUUAGCGAGCUGUAUUAAAUUCUUUACUGCAGCAUAUAUGAUGAUUGAACACAAAUAUACAGCAACAUUUGGUGCAGCUACCUGGGUUUUCUUAAUUUCAAGAAGAGCUCAUAUUCUUGUAUAUAAUUAGAAGAACCCAGAAAUAGGUGAUAAAUGAACGAAUGAAUUUAGUUAGUAUUUCUAUUGAUUUCCUUUAAUUGAUGCAAGAUUGUUUUCUUAGUUGUUAUAUCUUAUGUUGUUUCCAUUUAUUUCAAAUUAAUAUAUAGUUUGUUAUUUUAGCAAUAUUCUAUAUACCAUGAUGCUUGCUUUUUCUAGUAAUUAGGGUUAGGGUUUAUGCAAGAACCAAAACAUAUACAAAGUGAAGCUAAUUGGGCUUGCAUUGUAGUAAUAUCUAUUAAUAUAUAUAUGCAGAUGCUUCGGAGGGUUUGAGAAGUUGCAUAUGUUUUGUAUGUUUCAAAUUUUAAUAGAAGAAGCAGCACCCAAGUAUAUGUUAAGUUAUCAGUUCUUCUAGAACCUCAAGGUGUUAUCAAAUAUAUUAAGUUAUAAGUUCUCCUGAAACUCAGGGUGUUAUCAAGUAUGUUAAAUUAUAAGUUUUCUCCUAAAACUGAAAAAGGAGCUUCCUUCAGUCCACUCAUGGGCAGGGCAAAGGAUUGAAUUAGCUGCCGACUCAUUCACUCAAACACAGUAGAAACACGCUACUGGGCUGCUGUGAAUGUGUGAAUGAUGCGGGAGAUUAAUAUAACUCCUUUUCUUCUCUUUGCUUGGACUGAAGGGAGCUCCCUUUUCUAUUUACUCAUCACUUGAUAAUUUCGCUUACUUUAGCUCACUUGAUAUGUGUUACAUUUCUAAAUUUAUGCAGGCAUUUUCCGGGAUACCAGCUACAGAGAUCCUUUACUGCUCACCUUUUUAAGUAAAGGUAGAAUUUUUAAGUAAAUUACUGCGAAUGAGCUCAUAUAUUCCUUUAAUGUCUCCUCGUCACUAUAUAAUGUGAGCUUAGAUAUAAUGUUUUUUAAGAUGAUUAUUCAUGUUUGAUGUUACUAUACGCUUAAUGUUCAGUGUUGCGUCAAAUUCAAAUGUUAUGAAUCUCAAAUUUUAUUUUCUUGACUAUUAGACCGCGGCUGAACUAGCUAGGAGGUUAUUAUGCUCCCGGCUACAAUAAUUCUGACCUUGUAAAAUUAUUAAUAGAGAUUGGGGAAAGUAUUCAAAAUCGCGAUUGGCAUACUAUAAAUACAAGUAGUAAUUACGCUACUAGCUCUCUGCUGCCAAUCUGCCAUUACAAAUGUCCGUGUGUUCGGGUUCCACCGCAUAAGUAGUUCUGUUUACUACGUCCAUCUCAAAUUACAUGUCCAUUCCAGGUUUUGAAUAACAGGGAAGGAGCCCAGGAUUAGUAGUCGUAUUAUGCAGCUAUACUAGGCUUGAGAAAGCUGCUUUCUGAGUAGGAAUAGGGUAGGUUUUGGUGCUCUUGGAACUUGAAGCUAAACUAGCUUAUUUUAAGCAGAGUAGAGUAGUAGCAGAAUGGACUAGUACAGUAGUAGUAGUAGUACUGUAAUUUAUUGGCAUUCGUGAUGUUUAUUCUUUUAUUAUCACCACUUUAAGCAGUUUUACAGGCACCCACCACCGCCACAGAUCAAGCCAUGUGAUAUCAUGGCCCUCCCUCAUCCAACGGUCAGUGAAACACAUCGCCUCGUUCCAAAAUUGAAUUCAAAGGUUUUAUCUGUAAAUCGUACGACGAAUCGGAUCAGAUUGUGCUAUAACACGCAGACGUUUCACAAUUUCAUAUCAUUUUCGGGUUUUAUCUCGGUAAAUCGGGUGCCGAAUCAGAUCUGAGUCAGACGGUGUGUGAUAAUGUUGCCAUUGGCAUUGAUUUGCCGCCCCAGCUGUGCAGGGAAUUUUAUAGUGGGACUGAGCCGGCCAUCGUAAGCAAACACUCUGGAGUAGCAGUCUCAAACCUCGAGCUGCUCACUUUGGUAUCAUUAAAGUAGUGUAAGAUGGGGGAGGUGAUCUGGUGUUUUUUGUGCUUUUUAAGUAGUAUAGUCUUUAGAACUGUGAGUUAAGUGUGUAAAAAACUGUAGAAAAUGGGAGUUCAAUGUGUGGACCAAGAAAUGAAAGUACAAAAUUUUAUCUUCCCCAGAUUGAGGCAUGUGUAUUGUUUAUGCACUUGUCUAAUCUCUGAUCAAUAUUAUUCUCUUUUUUAA
Daucus carota subsp. sativus is the source of this 3195-nucleotide long non-coding RNA. RefSeq lists it as uncharacterized. The record is from RefSeq and is a predicted model, not a curated record. The transcript has 2 exons. NCBI's taxonomy places the organism in Eukaryota, Viridiplantae, Streptophyta, Magnoliopsida, Apiales, Apiaceae.